Molecule: long non-coding RNA, 4992 nt
Organism: Ictalurus punctatus (channel catfish)
Lineage: Eukaryota; Metazoa; Chordata; Actinopteri; Siluriformes; Ictaluridae
Exons: 5
Source: RefSeq, a predicted model, not a curated record
GUAGCACUGUACUGACAGCUGUAGGACUGGAGAUGUGGAAGCAAUGGCUAAGGAUUGAAACAACACUUUUCCCAGGGUUGAUGGAUGGAGGAUUAUUGGGUGUUGACUUGAUAUUCACAUUUUGGAUGAUGAAAUAAGACUUUGUGAGGAUCACAUAAGAAAGACAAAGAAGCCCAGAAGAACAACUCAGAGGCAUCCAAAAGCCAUUGGAGCUGGCGGCCUGGAGUAGGCAGGCUUGCUGUUCCCUUGCAGUAGUGGCUUCCUUUUCACCAAGGUCGUGUGCAUUGGCAGUGAAUUGCUUUGGAGUGUUUGAGUGUGGUGGUGCGCAUGUGGGUACUUAUUAUUAUGGGCAUUAGUGAAGCCCUGUGUCUAGCCUGGCUCUCUAUUGGUAAGCACCAUUUUGUUUCCUUUGUCUUUUAGAUAAUUUUUUAUUACAUUACAGCAGCUUGUUGCUAGUUACACUCCCUGAUUCUUUCAUGUUCACUACAUUGCAUUAGACCAAUUUUUACUGUUCAACAAAGAUCUAUAUAUAUAUUUUUUUACUAUUGACAUAUCCAUGUCUCCUGGUCUUUUGUGAGGAACUGAACCUGGGUCCUUGGUUUUCUUUUCCCCAGGUCAUUAACCCUGGGUGGCGUAGUCGUUACCUGCUGAAUUAGCUGAACGUUUUUAAGUUUAUUAAUAGAGAGUCUCUUUAACCCUUCCAACUCCACUUUGCCACAUUUUGUCAUAGUCAACAGGAUUUCUCUAAAAAUUUCACCUGAGAUGUGGAUAUCUUUUUGCUGUCUGGUUAUUGUUGGGACUUUUUCCUUCUCUCUCCUUUUUCUUCUCCUUUUUAUAUUAGAAGCAAAACAGCAGUGUUUGUUACUGGGCUUGGAACAUCCUGUUGGGUAAGGUUCUUCUGCCCUGAAAUUCUCCAAAUUUGGGGUAAGUCUUCCUUCUUUUUUUCUCUCAAAUGAUGGAAGAAGAAAUGCUGGAAUUCCAGGAGCUUGUAGCCCAAUUAAGAGCUAAUAACAUAAAUCUGAGACAGGAGUGUGCACAGGCUGGUUUACCUGGUCGUAGUAUUGAUUCUAUCCUACCUGGUCCAGCUGUAGUUGCAUCCCAAUCAGUUGGUGCUGGCGCCGCAGCCGACCGAGUGAUUUGUUUUGAUACUGAGGGACAGAAAGUGCCUAAAAUUUAAUGGUAGAUCUGGCAUCGGGAUUAAUGAGUGGGUUGAAGUACAGGCUUGCAUGCAGGCCCUUCAUUUGUCUGUAACAGACCAAUACUUCUUUUUGUUUGAUCACUUAGAGAGAGAAGCACGGGAAGAGAUGAAGUACCGGCUUGUAAAGGAAUGGUACCAGGAAUGGUAACAGGAAACCCUGUUAAAAUUAUUUCUGCUCUAAAAGAUGUAUAUGGGUGUUCCCAAUCAUCUGGUGCAUUGCAGGAGGCUUUCUUCUCUAGGAGGCAACAGAGGGCAAGACGUUGUUGGAGUUUUCCCUCACCCUCAUGGGCCUCCUGGUGAAGCAGCUUGUCUAUCACCAAACCACUGCUACACUGCUAGAGGUUUGCUGUGAAGUUGUUAGGUGGGAAUGCAAGGACCUCCUCCUUCCCUAUGAUCUCUUAGUCAUCCAAGAGAUGGCCCAAGCAUCUACAGGGUUCACCCCCUUUGAGCUCGGUGACCUCGGGGACUGCUGGAUGUGGCCUAUAAAGCUUGGGAGGAAGAGUCCUCUCCAUUCUGCCCCCUGUAAGCCUAUAACUUGCCAUCCCAACCCAGAGAAUUCCAGCCAGGUGACCAGAUGUUCUUACUGCUCCCAAAUGCCUCCUGUAAAUUCCUGGCCCACUGGCAGGCCCCCUGCACAAUUCUUGAGCGGGUAGGCCCAGUGAACUACCACCUACACCAGCUGGGGUCUGACAUGCAUACCUUGGUCCUUCAAGGAGAGGAUCUCAUUCCCACACAGCAUCAGGAGCUGACAGAGCUGGUCGACCAGUUCACCAACAUUUUCUCAUCCUCCCCAGGCCGGACCGACCGGGUCUAACAUGAGAUAAAACCCUGCCGGGAGUGGUGGUCAGACAGUGGCCCUACCACGUCCCAGAGGCUAACUGUCAGGCUAAUGAGGAGGAGGUUAGCCAGAUACUACAGGAUGGAGUUAUUGAGGAGUCUGCCAGCCCCUGGUCCAGCCCCAAUGUAGUGGUCCCAAAUCCUGACAGUAGUAUCCACCUUUGUAAUGAUGUCCGAAGUCUGAACCAAGUUUCGGAGUUUGACAGCUACCCCCUUCCCCGAGUCGACAACUUGGUAGAGUGCCUGGGGCCAAGUGCACAUCCACCUUAGAUCUGACAAAGGGCUACUGGCAAGUCACCCUGGCCUGUGGCCACUGGCAGUACCAGGUUCUCCCUUUUGGAUUACAUGGGGCACCAGCGACCUUCCAGCAUCUGAUCAUCUUAAACGGAUAUCAUCUUAAGGCCACACCACCAGUUCACAGCCGCCUACUUGGAUGAUGUCAUCAUCCUCUCCUCCAUCUGGGCCGACCACCUGUACCACCUCAGGGAGGUACCCGGAGGCUUCCAGAAGGCCAGGCUGAUGGCCAAGCAAAAGAAUCGUCAUCUGGAACUGACGGAGGUUCAUUACCUGGGGUACCGCAUCAAAAAGACAAGAUUUUGGAGCUGGCAGGGUACUACAGGAUAUUCGUCCCUAACUUCUGCUCUCUAGCUUCCCACCCUUUCAGACCUUAACAAGAAGGGCCAAAUGUAACGGGUGUGAUGGCCCUCAAGCAGACCCUCACCAGAUUGCCUGUUAUCAGGAACCCAGACUUCUCCCAUCGCCAGAGUAACUGCAGCAUUCAGUGCCACUUAGCAUUCAGUAACUGCAGCAUUCAGUGCCCAACAUUCAGUGCCACUUAAACACCUUGUUUGUUUUGGACAGCAAAGGAGCAUGUGGCUGCAAGGCGGGGCAGUAGAAACACACAAGGCUGGGAGCUAAUGAUUGGAGCGUCUUCUCCUCACUGUUCUGCGGGAGAGAGGUGGCUAUAAAAAUGCUACCGAUGAAAGCAGAGGAGAAUCUCCCCAGAUGCACUGCACCUCCAGCCGGCACCCUUGGCCUGCUCCACACUCCCUGGGUCCCGCCUCGCUGCCGCUUCAGCCCAUUCCUCAUGGCCCACCUGAGCACAAAUAAAAAGAGCACUUUUUCCACUACCACCGCCUUCAGUGUGUCUGUGUUCUGCCUGUCACACCUUUGAGUGGCUACAGUUACUUAAUUUCAUUACCUACUGUAUAAACUUAUUUUGUAUGAACUCCAGCAAAAUCAUACUGCUUAAAAGAAUUCCUUUGAAUUUACAAGAAAUCAGGUGUGUUGGUCCUAAUCAAUUACAGUACUUUCACUGAUAGGAAACCAUGCACUUUUACAUGAUUUAUUUGUACAAAGUUACAAACACACAUUAAAAUGAGGAUGCUUAAAACCAUGUCUAAGCAAUCAACCAAAUAACUUUUUUAAUGUCAGCAUGUAUUCAGGAGAAGAGUGGCAUAUAAUGACAUCCGUAUGUCUUUGACCCUUUAGAAGAGCGCCAUGUACCACUACUCAGGUUAUUCUGCUCUGCUGAACAUCUGUGACCAUCUGGUGAAAUUCAGAAUACUCCUGUAAAUGGCACAAUAUUAGCACUAACCAAAUGACAAGCACAAGCACUGAAUGCAAUUCAGGAUAUUUAGCUACACAAGGGUUAGGAUUGGGUGCACUUAUGCAAUUGUUCUAUUUCACUUGAGUCGAUAUUUUAAUGUUUGUGCAGUUUACAUUUGCUUCUGGUAUGUUGUCUUUCAUUCUGUACAGUGACAUUGUCAUUUUCAUUUAACUAAAGUAAAUCAGUUUCAAUCUUUAGCAUUUUCUUUUAACCAUAGUUCAGGGUACAGAUUACUUCAAAGGCCACCUGCGUCACAGUACAGGCAUCACUGCUGAUGCAUUCAGGCUCCCAUCUCCUCUGGCGAUAACUGACUGAACCAAAAUUGACCCAGUGGACUUGGGGUCAUGACCAGCUAUGAAGUUUCAUGACCCCUCUCUGUGCCACUAAUUGUGUUGGACUGCCUAGAAAAUCAACCCCUCUAAUGUAUUUAAUCCAGGCUGUCUUAGAUCCCUCGAUCUUGUUAGAUCUUCAUUGAAUACACUGUUUUAGAAUGUGGUCAGCAGAGUCUCCUUCUUACACCAACUUUUAACCAAUAUAAAGAUUUCUGCAACAUAUAAAUAAGUUACUCCAUGCAAUCUCUGUCAUUGGUUCAUUGAAAUUUGCAUACUAUCUGCUACUCACAGAGUGGUCAAACUUUAUUAAUAAAGUGUUAAUAUUCUCAUUAGUAGAUUACUCAGUUCAGAAUGUUGCCUACCAGAGGUCAUGAAGGCCAGUGAGGAGUGAGAUGAAGCACACCACUUUAGAGCAUUUGGUUGGAUACUGAGCAAAGUGAAGCUUGAAUAUGAGGAAGUGGAUUCUGAAUUUUCACCGUUCUCUGGGAAACCUGUCAUAUAAUUACAAGGCCAAUUAUAGGAAACUUCAGUUGCAUUGUUUUGUUAUGUCUUUUUUUGGUGGACGGUCUAGCUGCUAGAGGUUUUGUGUUGGGGUAGGCAUGCUCUGCAUUACUUUUAGUAAUUAAUUAAUUACUUUUGUUAUGCUCUUAGGAUAAUCGUUUGGGUUUGUAAUAACACUUAAAAAAUUUUGUCCAACAGAGUUUAGUACAUACUGUAGGCUAUUGAGAAAUGUUUUUGAAUGGCUUUGCACACAGAUAAUGGAAAACACUGAAAAUUAUCUUUCUCUCAUUCUCAAAUCUUUUGAUUUGUCUGUUUCUAAGCCUGAAACAGCUCAAACUAUACUACACAUUUUACCUUGAACCACAGAACAAUGUCACAGUACUAUCUCUGUACUAUGCACCAUUUGAUUCUUUGUGAGUGUGAGUGUGUGCGAGAGAGAAAUGUCUAUAUGUCAAUAUGUCAAUUUAUUUACUUACAAAUAUGGUCACAUGCAAAGUGGCUGAAAUAUGAUGGGU